Molecule: ribosomal RNA, 404 nt
Filed under: Actinomycetes bacterium
Lineage: Bacteria; Bacillati; Actinomycetota; Actinomycetes
Description: Actinobacteria bacterium partial 16S ribosomal RNA
Rfam family: Bacterial small subunit ribosomal RNA
Source: RNAcentral
UGGGGAAUAUUGGACAAUGGGGGCAACCCUGAUCCAGCCAUGCCGCGUGAGUGAUGAAGGCCUUAGGGUUGUAAAGCUCUUUUAUCCGGGACGAUAAUGACGGUACCGGAGGAAUAAGCCCCGGCUAACUUCGUGCCAGCAGCCGCGGUAAUACGAAGGGGGCUAGCGUUGCUCGGAAUCACUGGGCGUAAAGGGCGCGUAGGCGGUCUUUUAAGUCGGGGGUGAAAGCCUGUGGCUCAACCACAGCAUUGCCUUCGAUACUGAGAGACUUGAGUUCGGAAGAGGUUGGUGGAACUGCGAGUGUAGAGGUGAAAUUCGUAGAUAUUCGCAAGAACACCGGUGGCGAAGGCGGCCAACUGGUCCGACACUGACGCUGAGGCGCGAAAGCGUGGGGAGCAAACAGG